RNAcentral lists this long non-coding RNA (345 nucleotides) under Anser brachyrhynchus (Pink-footed goose). RNAcentral's name for it is "lncRNA (ENSABRG00000004345.1)". Lineage: Eukaryota; Metazoa; Chordata; Aves; Anseriformes; Anatidae. The record is from RNAcentral.
UUUAAAGUACUUAAACUCUUAAACUCAUGGUACAAACGAUUCAUUUUGUCUCUAAUCAUAAACAUAAUUUGUCUGGUGUUUCAGUUCUUUAGAUUUAUGCAGUAGCCAUGUUUGUCAAAGUAUUUGGCACCGGUGACAUCAUCUUUGUUGAAAUGCCGGACAGCGUGAUGAGUCCCAGAUGUUAACACACACCAAAAGCAGAGAAAGAAUAAAAUCCAAAGAUAACUAUAACAGCUAUGGAGAUGAUGAUGUGUUGAAUCAAUGUUGAUGAAGACUAUAUUUUGGCAACUUCAGUUAGAGCAAGAGAAUGAUUUCUGUUGUGAAGCAGAGGAUAUAAGAUCGGAA